GUUGAAGAACGUAGCAAAAUGCGAUAAGUAAUGUGAAUUGCAGAAUUCAGUGAAUCAUCGAAUCUUUGAACGCACAUUGCGCCCGCCAGUAUUCUGGCGGGCAUGCCUGUUCGAGCGUCAUUUCAACCCUCAUGCACAGCUUGGUGUUGGGACUCGCGUUAAUUCGCGUUCCCCAAAUUGAUUGGCGGUCACGUCGAGCUUCCAUAGCGUAGUAGUAAAACCCUCGUUACUGGUAAUCGUCGCGGCCACGCCGUUAAACCCCAACUUCUGAAUGUUGACCUCGGAUCAGGUAGGAAUACCCGCUGAACUUAAGCAUAUCAAUAAGCGGAGGA
This 332-nucleotide unclassified non-coding RNA is filed under the name soil metagenome. Its description in RNAcentral is "partial contains 5.8S ribosomal RNA, internal transcribed spacer 2, and large subunit ribosomal RNA". The stretch from base 1 to 120 matches the Rfam family "5.8S ribosomal RNA", at positions 35 to 154 of the family's 154-position model. The record is from RNAcentral.